This 2198-nucleotide ribosomal RNA is filed under the name Vibrio cholerae. RNAcentral describes it as "bacterial LSU rRNA". It matches the Rfam family "Bacterial large subunit ribosomal RNA", at positions 1 to 2234 of the family's 2925-position model. Lineage: Bacteria; Pseudomonadati; Pseudomonadota; Gammaproteobacteria; Vibrionales; Vibrionaceae. The record is from RNAcentral.
GUUGUAUGGUUAAGUGACUAAGCGUACACGGUGGAUGCCUGGGCAGUCAGAGGCGAUGAAGGACGUACUAACUUGCGAUAAGCGCAGAUAAGGCAGUAAGAGCCGUUUGAGUCUGCGAUUUCCGAAUGGGGAAACCCAACUGCAUAAGCAGUUACUGUUAACUGAAUACAUAGGUUAACAGAGCAAACCGGGGGAACUGAAACAUCUAAGUACCCCGAGGAGAAGAAAUCAACCGAGAUUCCGGUAGUAGCGGCGAGCGAACCUGGAUUAGCCCUUAAGCACUCGGUGAAGUAGGUGAACAAGCUGGAAAGCUUGGCGAUACAGGGUGAUAGCCCCGUAACCGACGCUUCAUCGAGCGUGAAAUCGAGUAGGGCGGGACACGUGAUAUCCUGUCUGAAUAUGGGGGGACCAUCCUCCAAGGCUAAAUACUCCUGACUGACCGAUAGUGAACCAGUACCGUGAGGGAAAGGCGAAAAGAACCCCUGUGAGGGGAGUGAAAUAGAACCUGAAACCGUGUACGUACAAGCAGUAGGAGCACCUUCGUGGUGUGACUGCGUACCUUUUGUAUAAUGGGUCAGCGACUUAUAUUCAGUGGCAAGGUUAACCGUAUAGGGGAGCCGUAGCGAAAGCGAGUCUUAACUGGGCGCUCAGUCUCUGGAUAUAGACCCGAAACCGGGUGAUCUAGCCAUGGGCAGGUUGAAGGUUGAGUAACAUCAACUGGAGGACCGAACCGACUAAUGUUGAAAAAUUAGCGGAUGACUUGUGGCUAGGGGUGAAAGGCCAAUCAAACUCGGAGAUAGCUGGUUCUCCCCGAAAGCUAUUUAGGUAGCGCCUCGGACGAAUACUACUGGGGGUAGAGCACUGUUAAGGCUAGGGGGUCAUCCCGACUUACCAACCCUUUGCAAACUCCGAAUACCAGUAAGUACUAUCCGGGAGACACACGGCGGGUGCUAACGUCCGUCGUGGAGAGGGAAACAACCCAGACCGCCAGCUAAGGUCCCAAAGUAUUGCUAAGUGGGAAACGAUGUGGGAAGGCUCAGACAGCUAGGAUGUUGGCUUAGAAGCAGCCAUCAUUUAAAGAAAGCGUAAUAGCUCACUAGUCGAGUCGGCCUGCGCGGAAGAUGUAACGGGGCUAAGCAAUACACCGAAGCUGCGGCAAUGUCUUUUAGACAUUGGGUAGGGGAGCGUUCUGUAAGCCGUUGAAGGUGAAUCGUAAGGUUUGCUGGAGGUAUCAGAAGUGCGAAUGCUGACAUGAGUAACGACAAAGGGGGUGAAAAACCUCCUCGCCGGAAGACCAAGGGUUCCUGUCCAACGUUAAUCGGGGCAGGGUGAGUCGACCCCUAAGGUGAGGCCGAAAGGCGUAAUCGAUGGGAAACGGGUUAAUAUUCCCGUACUUCUGACUAUUGCGAUGGGGGGACGGAGAAGGCUAGGUGGGCCAGGCGACGGUUGUCCUGGUUCAAGUGCGUAGGCUUGAGAGUUAGGUAAAUCCGGCUCUCUCUAAGGCUGAGACACGACGUCGAGCUACUACGGUAGUGAAGUCAUUGAUGCCAUGCUUCCAGGAAAAGCCUCUAAGCUUCAGAUAGUCAGGAAUCGUACCCCAAACCGACACAGGUGGUCGGGUAGAGAAUACCAAGGCGCUUGAGAGAACUCGGGUGAAGGAACUAGGCAAAAUGGUACCGUAACUUCGGGAGAAGGUACGCUCUUGAUGGUGAAGUCCCUCGCGGAUGGAGCUGACGAGAGUCGCAGAUACCAGGUGGCUGCAACUGUUUAUUAAAAACACAGCACUGUGCAAAAUCGCAAGAUGACGUAUACGGUGUGACGCCUGCCCGGUGCCGGAAGGUUAAUUGAUGGGGUUAGCGCAAGCGAAGCUCUUGAUCGAAGCCCCGGUAAACGGCGGCCGUAACUAUAACGGUCCUAAGGUAGCGAAAUUCCUUGUCGGGUAAGUUCCGACCUGCACGAAUGGCGUAAUGAUGGCCACGCUGUCUCCACCCGAGACUCAGUGAAAUUGAAAUCGCUGUGAAGAUGCAGUGUACCCGCGGCUAGACGGAAAGACCCCGUGAACCUUUACUACAGCUUGGCACUGAACAUUGAACCUACAUGUGUAGGAUAGGUGGGAGGCUAUGAAGACGUGACGCCAGUUGCGUUGGAGCCGUCCUUGAAAUACCACCCUUGUAUGUUUGAUGUUCUAACUUAGACCC